AAUAGAUACCCGGGUAGUCCACGCCGUAAACGAUGGAUGCUAGCUAUUGGGGGGAAUCGACCCCCUCCGAAGCGAAGCUAACGCGUUAAGCAUCCCGCCUGAGUAGUACGAGCGCAAGCUUAAAACUCAAAGGAAUUGACGGGGACCCGCACAAGCGGUGGAGCGUGUGGUUUAAUUCGAUGGUAAACGAAGAACCUUACCAAGGUUUGACAUCCCGGUAGCCGUUCUCCGAAAGGAGAAUUUCAUUUAGUUGGACCGGUGACAGGUGAUGCAUGGCCGUCGUCAGCUCGUGUCGUGAGAUGUUGGGUUAAGUCCCGCAACGAGCGCAACCCUUAUGAUUUAGUUGGAUUUUUCUAAACAGACUGCCCUGGUAACAGGGAGGAAGGAGGGGUGAUGUCAGGUCAGUACUUCCCUUACACCUUGGGCGACACACGCGCUACAAUGGCCGGUACAAUGGGCAGCUAAGCCGCGAGGUGGAGCAAAUCCCAUCAAAGCCGGUCCCAGUUCGGAUUGCAGGCUGAAACCCGCCUGCAUGAAGCCGGAAUCGCUAGUAACC
Molecule: ribosomal RNA, 556 nt
Filed under: uncultured bacterium
Lineage: Bacteria
Description: bacterial SSU rRNA
Rfam family: Bacterial small subunit ribosomal RNA
Source: RNAcentral